This 16-nucleotide ribosomal RNA is filed under the name Pisolithus tinctorius. The record is from RNAcentral. Lineage: Eukaryota; Fungi; Basidiomycota; Agaricomycetes; Boletales; Pisolithaceae. RNAcentral also lists the same sequence under 1 other name.
AUCCACGGCCAUAGGA